CCAGACUCCUACGGGAGGCAGCAGUGGGGGAUAUUGCACAAUGGGGGAAACCCUGAUGCAGCGACGCCGCGUGAGUGAAGAAGUAAUUCGUUACGUAAAGCUCUAUCAGCAGGGAAGAAAAUGACGGUACCUGACUAAGAAGCCCCGGCUAACUACGUGCCAGCAGCCGCGGUAAUACGUAGGGGGCAAGCGUUAUCCGGAAUUACUGGGUGUAAAGGGAGCGCAGACGGCAGUGCAAGUCUGGAGUGAAAGCCCGCGGCUUAACCACGGGACUGCUCUGGAAACUGUGCAGCUAGAGUGCAGGAGAGGCAGGCGGAAUUCCUAGUGUAGCGGUGAAAUCCGUAGAUAUCUGGUGGAACAUCAGUGGCGAAGGCGACUAUCUGGCACAUAACUGACGCUGAGGAGCGAAAGCGUGGGUAGCAAACAGGAUUAGAUACCCGUGUA
This 444-nucleotide ribosomal RNA is filed under the name uncultured bacterium. RNAcentral describes it as "partial 16S ribosomal RNA". It matches the Rfam family "Bacterial small subunit ribosomal RNA", at positions 331 to 792 of the family's 1533-position model. The record is from RNAcentral.